This 324-nucleotide non-coding RNA is filed under the name Carboxydothermus hydrogenoformans. RNAcentral describes it as "T-box sequence". It matches the Rfam family "T-box leader". From Rfam's summary of the family: Uncharged tRNA acts as the effector for transcription antitermination of genes in the T-box leader family. T-boxes are found upstream of many aminoacyl-tRNA synthetase genes and some amino acid biosynthetic genes usually in Gram-positive bacteria. The anticodon of a specific tRNA base pairs to a specifier sequence within the T-box motif, and the NCCA acceptor tail of the tRNA base pairs to a conserved bulge in the T-box antiterminator hairpin. Lineage: Bacteria; Bacillati; Bacillota; Clostridia; Thermoanaerobacterales; Thermoanaerobacteraceae. The record is from RNAcentral.
GUAAAGGCUGUGAUAGGGAAAAGUAGGAUUUUUGCAGGGCCGAAAGCGAGCCGGGGAGGGUGGAAGCCCGGUGGUCCGGAAAAUCUGAAGUUCUCCCUGGAGCUGGCCGCUGAACAAAGAAGUAGGCGGACCCGGAGAGUUCCACCGUUAAAAGGAACGGGGUAUCGGAGGUUUCCUGUACUCUUAGGGUGGUAAUUAAACCUUUGGUUCCCUAAGCCAAAGGUUUUUUUGUAUCCUAAGGAAAUUUCCCGUACCUUUAACGAGAGGGCAGCAAUGCCAAGAAGGGUGGUACCGCGGAAGACGACCCGGUCUUUCGUCCCUUGG